Crocodylus porosus (Australian saltwater crocodile) is the source of this 1707-nucleotide long non-coding RNA. Lineage: Eukaryota; Metazoa; Chordata; Crocodylia; Crocodylidae. The record is from Ensembl.
CGGCCCCCCCAUUGGCGGGCGGCGCGGCGCGCGUCACAAUGGGUGAUUUGCAUGGGGCAGGCGGCGAGGCGGGCAGGUUGUGCGGCACCGCGGCGUGGGCUGGACUGGCGCUGGGCGAGGAGCUACGGGCGCUCCUGCCCGGGGCCGGGUGGCAGUGCCAGUCGGAGCGGGCCCGCCUGCACCAGUGGAGGUUGCUGUGGUGGGGCGGGCACAUUAUUGCUGGCUUCCCAGAAGCAUGUCUGCCUGCAUUGGGUUAAUGCUCCAGAAGUAGGUGAGCCACUGACUAACGCACAUUGUGCUGUUAGCGAUUCCACUGUGCGUGUGACAGCGGCUAACCUGCUUUUCGGACAUCACUAUGUCUACUCCAUCACCCUGCCCCAGGAAGUGGCAAUGCUGGACCCUAGGAAUGGCUCCUAGUUCCCAACAAAACUUUACGGAGCUCAGCAACAGUCCCUGACAAGUUUGCGGACCUGCGCUCUUUUGGAAUCUUCCGAAGCAUUUGCAGGAAGCUUGUACCUCUUUUUUUCCCUGGGGAUACAUGAAAGACUCGCAGCAAGAAGGAAAAAACAACUGCUUUUGUUAAAAUAAGUUAAUGGGAUGUAGUCGAUGCAUGCAUGUGCCAUUUGGACCACCUGUACUCGUGUUUAGCAUCGUGUUUAGUGAGCGGUCUUGGUGCAGGAGCAUUAAGGGACUUAAUGCUUGUGGGUCCUACUGCAGAAAGGAUCCAGGAAGUCAUGAGCAACUUGCCCUGAGCUAGGGGUGCCAAGCCAAAUGCAAAGGAUUCAUGGGAAGGUUGCAAAUGGAAAGACAUGCUGAUGAAAAUGAGCCCUAUCCCUCCCCUUUAUCCCACCCUGUCCUUUCCAAAAAGUAAUGGUAAUGGACAUCAAGCCAAAUUAGAGAGAAGCUCUUUAUCCAGCCAGUGAAGUCUUGGUACCCAGUCAAUGACUAACUGAACUUCUACUGUCAAGUGUGUGUUAAUAGAAAAAACUAUGCAUGGCAUUGCCCUGGAUGAGUCACCUUAAAGACAGACUCUCUAAUCUCUUAUAAGUAAAGCAGAAACUGGUUUCACCUCCCAACUGUCUUUCUCUCUCUCUUUCUCCUGGUAAAUGUUGCUAUUUGUCUCUCAAAAAGAAGGCUCUAACUUCCCCAGAUUUAUCCUGCCCAGGAAACUCUCUCAUUCAUUUCUCUAGCAGACUGUGAUGUCACUUGUACCCUUACGACUUCAUGGCUUGCAAAGAGCUGAAUGCUUGGGGGGGGGGGGGUGCUUUUUCCAGAUUAUUUGUGGUUGCUUUAACCAGCUGUGAAAAUAGAGGAAGUGACCAAGCACAUUUGCUUUUACCAUAAAAAGUUUUCUUUCACUUUUGCUCCAGCUUAUGAUCUAGGGAGAUUGAAGAGUUUGCUCUUAGGGCGUGUGCAGUUUUAUCUCUAGGUCACUUUGUGAAUCCAAGCCAAGUUAGAAAUAUCAGGCAUCCUCCAGGAGUGGUUGGGAAGCUUCUAUUUGCUGCUCCCUCUGAACCUUUUUUUUUUUUUUUUUUCCUUCUAAAACUGGACCUUGUGGAAGACUUGGGAUUUCUUCUUAUGAAAGGAGCAAGGAAAAAAAAGGCACAGGUUCAUAUAAAGUCAGUAUCAAAAGGAAGUUUAAAGUCACUAAACUAUGUGGAUUCCUCAUACAGCUACAAAUCAAAUAAAGCAAUAAAUUGAUUUACA